Molecule: long non-coding RNA, 591 nt
Organism: Ostrinia nubilalis (European corn borer)
Lineage: Eukaryota; Metazoa; Arthropoda; Insecta; Lepidoptera; Crambidae
Exons: 2
Source: RefSeq, a predicted model, not a curated record
CCGCGGGGCUGGCGGCGCGGCUGACUCGGCUCCACGAGAGCCGACACCAGCGGGAGCGCCUUAGUUUUAGUUUCUUUUUUUAGAUUAAGGUACGAGAAUAGCUAUAGAAAUGGGAUUACGCUAUGGCAUGACAAAGUUGUAGCAACUAUUUACUGACAUGAAGAAAAACAAGUUGGGCGGCGUCCGACGGCAAUUGAAUAAUUCCAAUAAUAAUUAAUGUCUGGUACAUUAUUAACAGAAUCGUGUAAUUCGUUCACCAGCACUGUCGACCAGUGCAGAUAAGUUUGCUUCUCCGUUCAAUUAAUCAAUUCCAAAGUCCUGGGAAAAAUGAUAGUCUAAGCGAUAAUAAUUUAAGCUAUUACUUCCUAACCUAGGUUAAGGUUAACACUGCAAUAUAAGUUUUUGUUUUUGUUAACAUUCACAACAGUCAGCAAAGUCCAAGUUAAAUGAGUGCAAAUGAUAUAAUGUACUAACUUUUAAAAAAUAUUAUUCUAAUUUUUGUUAUGUGGAGCAUUUUAAACUUGUGUUAGUUUUAAGAACAGUUUCCUUUUUUCAGUUUUUAUUUAAUUAAAGUUUGUUUUCUUUCUACAA